RNAcentral lists this ribosomal RNA (643 nucleotides) under uncultured Actinomycetes bacterium. RNAcentral's name for it is "bacterial SSU rRNA". It matches the Rfam family "Bacterial small subunit ribosomal RNA", at positions 232 to 885 of the family's 1533-position model. Lineage: Bacteria; Bacillati; Actinomycetota; Actinomycetes. The record is from RNAcentral.
CGCGGCCUAUCAGCUUGUUGGUGGGGUGAUGGCCUACCAAGGCGACGACGGGUAGCCGGCCUGAGAGGGUGACCGGCCACACUGGGACUGAGACACGGCCCAGACUCCUACGGGAGGCAGCAGUGGGGAAUAUUGCACAAUGGGCGAAAGCCUGAUGCAGCGACGCCGCGUGAGGGGUGACGGCCUUCGGGUUGUAAACCUCUUUCAGCAGGGACGAAGCGCAAGUGACGGUACCUGCAGAAGAAGCCCCGGCCAACUACGUGCCAGCAGCCGCGGUAAUACGUAGGGGGCAAGCGUUGUCCGGAAUUAUUGGGCGUAAAGAGCUCGUAGGCGGUUUGUCGCGUCGGCUGUGAAAUCCCGAGGCUCAACCUCGGGCCUGCAGUCGAUACGGGCAGACUUGAGUGUUGCAGGGGAGACUGGAAUUCCUGGUGUAGCGGUGAAAUGCGCAGAUAUCAGGAGGAACACCGGUGGCGAAGGCGGGUCUCUGGGCCACAACUGACGCUGAGGAGCGAAAGCAUGGGGAGCGAACAGGAUUAGAUACCCUGGUAGUCCAUGCCGUAAACGGUGGGCACUAGAUGUGGGGCUCAUUCCACGAGUUCCGCGUCGCAGCUAACGCAUUAAGUGCCCCGCCUGGGGAGUACGG